CCUUAGAGUUUGAUCCUGGCUCAGGAUGAACGCUGGCGGCGUGCCUAAUACAUGCAAGUCGAACGAAUCUCUUUUAGAGAUGAGUGGCGAACGGGUGAGUAAUACAUAGGUAACCUGCCCCUGUGCGGGGGAUAACAGGAGGAAACUCCUGCUAAUACCGCAUAGCCAUGAGCACCGCAUGGAGCUCAUGCCAAAUAUCCUUUAUGGGAUAGCGCAGGGAUGGACCUAUGGCGCAUUAGCUGGUUGGCGGGGCAACGGCCCACCAAGGCAACGAUGCGUAGCCGGCCUGAGAGGGCGGACGGCCACAUUGGGACUGAGACACGGCCCAGACUCCUACGGGAGGCAGCAGUAGGGAAUUUUCGGCAAUGGGGGAAACCCUGACCGAGCAACGCCGCGUGAGCGAAGAAGGCCUUCGGGUCGUAAAGCUCUGUUGUAAAGGAAGAACGGCGCAUACAGGAAAUGGUAUGCGAGUGACGGUACUUUACCAGAAAGCCACGGCUAACUACGUGCCAGCAGCCGCGGUAAUACGUAGGUGGCGAGCGUUAUCCGGAAUCAUUGGGCGUAAAGAGGGAGCAGGCGGCCGCAAGGGUCUGUGGUGAAAGACCGAAGCUAAACUUCGGUAAGCCAUGGAAACCGGGCGGCUAGAGUGCGGAAGAGGAUCGUGGAAUUCCAUGUGUAGCGGUGAAAUGCGUAGAUAUAUGGAGGAACACCAGUGGCGAAGGCGACGGUCUGGGCCGCAACUGACGCUCAUUCCCGAAAGCGUGGGGAGCAAAUAGGAUUAGAUACCCUAGUAGUCCACGCCGUAAACGAUGGUCACUAAGUGUCGGGGGUCAAACCCCGGUGCUGCAGUCAACGCAAUAAGUGACCCGCCUGAGUAGUACGUUCGCAAGAAUGAAACUCAAAUGAAUUGACGG
Molecule: ribosomal RNA, 914 nt
Filed under: uncultured bacterium
Lineage: Bacteria
Description: bacterial SSU rRNA
Rfam family: Bacterial small subunit ribosomal RNA
Source: RNAcentral